GCCAGUGGGGGGCUUAACAUGCAGUCGAACGAUGAACCACUUCGGUGGGGAUUAGUGGCGAACGGGUGAGUAACACGUGGGCAAUCUGCCCUUCACUCUGGGACAAGCCCUGGAAACGGGGUCUAAUACCGGAUAACACUCCCUCUCUCAUGGGUGGGGGUUAAAAGCUCCGGCGGUGAAGGAUGAGCCCGCGGCCUAUCAGCUUGUUGGUGAGGUAAUGGCUCACCAAGGCGACGACGGGUAGCCGGCCUGAGAGGGCGACCGGCCACACUGGGACUGAGACACGGCCCAGACUCCUACGGGAGGCAGCAGUGGGGAAUAUUGCACAAUGGGCGAAAGCCUGAUGCAGCGACGCCGCGUGAGGGAUGACGGCCUUCGGGUUGUAAACCUCUUUCAGCAGGGAAGAAGCGAAAGUGACGGUACCUGCAGAAGAAGCGCCGGCUAACUACGUGCCAGCAGCCGCGGUAAUACGUAGGGCGCAAGCGUUGUCCGGAAUUAUUGGGCGUAAAGAGCUCGUAGGCGGCUUGUCACGUCGGGUGUGAAAGCCCGGGGCUUAACCCCGGGUCUGCAUUCGAUACGGGCUAGCUAGAGUGUGGUAGGGGAGAUCGGAAUUCCUGGUGUAGCGGUGAAAUGCGCAGAUAUCAGGAGGAACACCGGUGGCGAAGGCGGAUCUCUGGGCCAUUACUGACGCUGAGGAGCGAAAGCGUGGGGAGCGAACAGGAUUAGAUACCCUGGUAGUCCACGCCGUAAACGGUGGGAACUAGGUGUUGGCGACAUUCCACGUCGUCGGUGCCGCAGCUAACGCAUUAAGUUCCCCGCCUGGGGAGUACGGCCGCAAGGCUAAAACUCAAAGGAAUUGACGGGGGCCCGCACAAGCAGCGGAGCAUGUGGCUUAAUUCGACGCAACGCGAAGAACCUUACCAAGGCUUGACAUACACCGGAAAACCCUGGAGACAGGGUCCCCCUUGUGGUCGGUGUACAGGUGGUGCAUGGCUGUCGUCAGCUCGUGUCUUGAGAUGUUGCGUUAAGUCUCUCAACCAGCGAAACCAUUGUUCUGUGUUGCCAGCAUGCCCUUCGGGGGCGAUGGGGACUCACGAGGAUACCUCCUGGGGCUACCCGUAGCAACGAUGGGGAUGAUUUCAAUUAAUAUUUGGUCGUUAUUGUUCUGGUUACGAGUGGGGUUCUAUUCUCUCGCAUCAUAAGGAUCAUUCUAUCUCAGUG
Molecule: ribosomal RNA, 1221 nt
Filed under: Streptomyces sp.
Lineage: Bacteria; Bacillati; Actinomycetota; Actinomycetes; Kitasatosporales; Streptomycetaceae
Description: bacterial SSU rRNA
Rfam family: Bacterial small subunit ribosomal RNA
Source: RNAcentral